Molecule: ribosomal RNA, 274 nt
Filed under: uncultured bacterium
Lineage: Bacteria
Description: partial 16S ribosomal RNA
Rfam family: Bacterial small subunit ribosomal RNA
Source: RNAcentral
AUACGGAGGGGGCUAGCGUUGUUCGGAAUUACUGGGCGUAAAGCGCGCGUAGGCGGACCAGUCAGUCAGGGGUGAAAUCCCGGGGCUCAACCCCGGAACUGCCUUUGAUACUGCUGGUCUUGAGUUCGAGAGAGGUGAGUGGAAUUCCGAGUGUAGAGGUGAAAUUCGUAGAUAUUCGGAGGAACACCAGUGGCGAAGGCGGCUCACUGGCUCGAUACUGACGCUGAGGUGCGAAAGCGUGGGGAGCUAACAGGAUUAGAAACCCUAGUAGUCC